RNAcentral lists this small RNA (17 nucleotides) under Arabidopsis thaliana (thale cress). Its description in RNAcentral is "ATSL173330". The record is from RNAcentral. Lineage: Eukaryota; Viridiplantae; Streptophyta; Magnoliopsida; Brassicales; Brassicaceae.
UUUUUUGUGUUGUUUUU